This is a non-coding RNA of Elaeis guineensis (African oil palm), 436 nucleotides long. The record is from RefSeq and is a predicted model, not a curated record. NCBI's taxonomy places the organism in Eukaryota, Viridiplantae, Streptophyta, Magnoliopsida, Arecales, Arecaceae.
CGAGAUAAUCAAGACCCACUUGGCAUGUGCAUGGCGCGUGUGAGGAAGGGAUAAAGAAGACUCCCACCGGGAGUCUUCUUCUCUCUUGAUUCCAUCAGAAUCAAGGCCGCCGCAGUCUGGAUUAGCUUAGGAAAACUUGUCUAUACGAGUCCCCUUCCUCUCUCUCGGAUCUUCAAAGUUGCUUGAGGAAUCACCGUGACUAGUCUGGAGUUUAUCCCAUUCUUCCGUCGAUUGCCGCUGAGAAAAAAGGGUCAUCGGAACCCUUCUCUAGCCAUAGGAGCGAGAGACUCCAAAAAUUUAGUUCAGAUGAGUUAGGUGAGAAGUUGAGUAUUGGAACUCUCAGUGCUUAGUUAGUUAAAUUUUCUGAUAUCAUUGGAUAUUUGAAUAUUUGUAAUUGAACAAGUUAGCUAUUUAUUUUGAUGGAUCGACUUUGAUU